CACUGGCUGUAACCAUUUAUGAGAAAUAAAGCUCUCCUUUCCAAAUUUAUGAACCUUGUCAUUUUCUUCAGUUAACAUAAUUGGCGGCCUCGACAAGGAGAUCCAGGGAGACCUCCGGUUUCCCCCAGAGUGACCAGAAGUCAAUGCUCUGACAUCUGCACAGGCACAGUGACAGCUUAGCUGUCUCCCAACCUUGCUGAGAGGAAUUCCGCUGCCACAGGAGGGGAUUCGGCAUCCACCAAGCAGGCAAUGACAAUGACAAUGCCCUGGAAAAGGGGGAGCAAUACAUGGAAGACACUGUGUUCCCUGAGUGACCACGUGGAGCAGGGCUGACCCACUGAUGUGGAUGGAUGGCUUAUCUGGAAACAGGCACAAAAGAGAGAAAUAAAUGUUCUUUAAGCCACUGUA
This is a long non-coding RNA of Lemur catta (Ring-tailed lemur), 408 nucleotides long. RefSeq lists it as uncharacterized. NCBI's taxonomy places the organism in Eukaryota, Metazoa, Chordata, Mammalia, Primates, Lemuridae. The record is from RefSeq and is a predicted model, not a curated record. The transcript is spliced from 2 exons.